GGCGAACGGGUGAGCAACACGUGAGUAACCUGCCCUUGACUUUGGGAUAACUUCAGGAAACUGGGGCUAAUACCGGAUAGGAGCUCCUGCUGCAUGGUGGGGGUUGGAAAGUUUCGGCGGUUGGGGAUGGACUCGCGGCUUAUCAGCUUGUUGGUGGGGUAGUGGCUUACCAAGGCUUUGACGGGUAGCCGGCCUGAGAGGGUGACCGGCCACAUUGGGACUGAGAUACGGCCCAG
This 236-nucleotide ribosomal RNA is filed under the name uncultured Actinomycetales bacterium. RNAcentral's name for it is "partial 16S ribosomal RNA". It matches the Rfam family "Bacterial small subunit ribosomal RNA", at positions 97 to 334 of the family's 1533-position model. The record is from RNAcentral. Lineage: Bacteria; Bacillati; Actinomycetota; Actinomycetes; Actinomycetales.